GAUGAACGCUGGCGGCGUGCCUAAUACAUGCAAGUCGAGCGAACAGACCCGGAGCUUGCUACUCUGACGUUAACGGCGGAAGGAAGAGUAACACAUGGAUAACUUACCUAUAAGACUGGGAUAACUUCGGGAAACCGGUGCUAAUACCGGAUAAUAUCUUCAACCGCAUGGUUCAAUAGUGAAAGACGGUUUUGCUGUCCCUUAUAGAUGGAUCCGCGCCGCAUUAGCUAUGUGGUAAGGUAACGGCUUACCAAGGCCACGAUGCGUAGCCGACCUGAGAAGGUGUUGCGCCACUCUGAGACUGAGACGCGGUACAGGCACCUAGGGGAGGCACAGGUAGGGACGCGUCCGCGAAGGGCGGAAGAUUGACGGAUCGGCGCCGCGUGAAUGAUGAAGGGCUGCGGGUCGGAUGACUCUGUUAUUGGGGAAGAACAAAUGUGUAAGUAACUAUGCUCGUGGUGACGGUACCUGAUCAGGAAGCAACGGCUAACUACGUG
This 497-nucleotide ribosomal RNA is filed under the name uncultured bacterium. Its description in RNAcentral is "partial 16S ribosomal RNA". It matches the Rfam family "Bacterial small subunit ribosomal RNA", at positions 28 to 507 of the family's 1533-position model. The record is from RNAcentral.